CCACUCGUGAACUAUACCGUACCCCCCUGUGCAUCGCCCUCUGGGUGGCCUGGGCGGUCGUGCUCUCGGGCCGACCGGGCUCCAAUCCGCUCCGCGGUUGGGGUCGGCUAACUUUUCCACACACCCAAUCAAACCGUCUGUCUGAAGCUGACUCGAGCCGGCAUCGCCGAUCGAUUAACAAAGACAACUCUCAACAACGGAUAUCUUGGCUCUCGCAACGAUGAAGAACGCAGCGAAAUGCGAUACGUAGUGUGAAUUGCAGAAUUCCGUGAAUCAUCGAAUCUUUGAACGCAUAUUGCGGUCGAGGCUUCGGCCAAGACCAUGUCUGCCUCAGCGUCGGUGUGAACCCUCACUCCCCCUCACGGGUGGAGUGGACCUGGCCUCCUCAGACCCCAGCGGCUGGGUUGGCUGAAAUUUGGAGGCUCCCGCUCGGGCCUGUAUGGCAGCAGCAAGGUAGGUAGUUUACUACUCCGGCUGAUGCUUUGGGCACGCGGCAUGAGCCCGCAGGAAAUUCUCACCUUUUCGACCUGAGAUGAGGCAAGGCUACCCGCUGAACUUAAGCAUAUCA
RNAcentral lists this ribosomal RNA (568 nucleotides) under uncultured Chlorophyta. RNAcentral describes it as "eukaryotic LSU rRNA". The stretch from base 186 to 339 matches the Rfam family "5.8S ribosomal RNA". Lineage: Eukaryota; Viridiplantae; Chlorophyta. The record is from RNAcentral.